RNAcentral lists this long non-coding RNA (1584 nucleotides) under Brachypodium distachyon (stiff brome). RNAcentral's name for it is "long non-coding RNA (BDIS_LNC002335)". Lineage: Eukaryota; Viridiplantae; Streptophyta; Magnoliopsida; Poales; Poaceae. The record is from RNAcentral.
CAGCAGUAAACGGGAGCAUAAAUAUGCUUCUAAAACAGAAACUUCAUACAAAAGUUAACAACAAUGCUAUCCAUCAAGCAUUAACACAGAAAUGAAAAUCAAUAGUUCUAGAUGGCACUAACUUGGACUGCAGAAGAACUUAUGCAACGUAUCAACCUGAAAGAAAGUGUUGUACAGUAAAUAAUCAAUAUGUAUAUUGUCAGUAUUCUAGUUCUUAAAAAAAGUCACAUAUUUUUUUUACAUAUGUGAAAAAUUUAGAUGUAAUAAGAGGAGAUGCAUGUGUGAAUUUGCUUUCACAGGUGAACAUGGCACUCUACUAUAAGACAUUAACAAAGCCAGCAAGACUACAUGUAUAUAGCAUUCUCAAAUGUCAUCUUCAGAACACCAUGACAUAAAGAGGAAAUUACACCGCAGGUCCACGAACUUGGCAGCGAUGUUCAGUUUCAUUCAUUAACUUGAAAACUGUUCAAAUGACUCACUAAACUUGGUAGUUUUGUUCAUUUUAAUCCAAUUGGCCAAAAUCAGAUGAAAUUCGGCCACGCUGGCAUGUGUCGUGGACCUGGCCGGCGUCUGAGGGGGCUUUUCAUAAUUUUCUGGUUAUGGACCUUUUCUGUUUAACCCCCUCGAAUCUCCAGAAUGGGGAGACGCUGCCCUCGCCGGUGAACCCACUUCGGGCCGGCAUACGCGGUGUCCAAGCGAAUGGCUUUGUCGAUGGGUUCGGCGGUGGCUACUUGAACGGUCAGAUCCACGUCACAUGCUAUCAUGACCGAAUUUCGCUCGAAUCUGACCAUUUGGACUAAAAUGAGCAAAGAUGUCAAGUUUAGUGAGUCAUUUGAGAGUUUUCAAGUUAAUGGAUGAAACUGAAUAUCGCUGCCAAGUUCGUGUACCCGCAGUGUAAUUUCCUCUGACACAAACUUGCAAGCACAAAUAAGAAUGGCAAUAAGAAAACCAUGAUAUAAUAAAAAUAAGAGGAAGAUGCAGUGCGUAACAAAAAUGUUCUGCCAGAGUAACUAUCAACUGACAAGGCACAGAUAUACCAAGAAAUCAGACUCCCAUUGUAGCAGUUUUUGGUAAUACCUAUUGGGAUUUAAUUCAGCCUGCUUGUUGCCAUGAGAUUGGCCUUUAUCAUCCCCCUCCACCUGCAUUUACAAAAGUAAAGAGUAGUCAGAACCUUGAGAUAAUGUACUGGUUGUAGCAAAGAAGUGUUCAUAGCAAACAAAACACAUACAGGAAAAGUUAAAAGAGAUACUAGAGAAGGAGCACCCUCAGCUCCCUACAUGGCAAACUAUCCAGUAGAUUUUCAUUUGAUAAAGAUCAGCCACAAUGCACGUACAUCGCCUACUUGCCUUUGAGCUGAGCCGCAGUAACGAGAAGCCUCAGCACCGGCUCUAGCACCUACUAGGAGAGAAGGUUUAGCAAAUAACACUACUGAGCUACAUACAGUAGCAGCAAACUAUCCAAUCCAUCGCCAUGGCAUAGCAACCAAAACCAGAUCUUUUGCAAGAGGAGAAGAAGCUACAAACCUUAGAUACUCCCAAGAAAAUGUAUUGAAGUUCAAUCCACUUGUGGUAGUGAGGCAGUGAG